AUUGAACGCUGGCGGCAGGCCUAACACAUGCAAGUCGAACGGUAACAGGAAGAAGCUUGCUUCUUUGCUGACGAGUGGCGGACGGGUGAGUAAUGUCUGGGAAACUGCCUGAUGGAGGGGGAUAACUACUGGAAACGGUAGCUAAUACCGCAUAGCGUCGCAAGACCAAAGAGGGGGACCUUCGGGCCUCUUGCCAUCGGAUGUGCCCAGAUGGGAUUAGCUAGUUGGUGGGGUAACGGCUCACCAAGGCGACGAUCCCUAGCUGGUCUGAGAGGAUGACCAGCCACACUGGAACUGAGACACGGUCCAGACUCCUACGGGAGGCGGCAGUGGGGAAUAUCGCACAAUGGGCGCAAGCCUGAUGCAGCCAUGCCGCGUGUAUGAAGAAGGCCUUCGGGUUGUAAAGUACUUUCAGCGGGGAGGAAGGGAGUAAAGUUAAUACCUUUGCUCAUUGACGUUACCCGCAGAAGAAGCACCGGCUAACUCCGUGCCAGCCGCCGCGGUAA
This 506-nucleotide ribosomal RNA is filed under the name uncultured bacterium. Its description in RNAcentral is "partial 16S ribosomal RNA". It matches the Rfam family "Bacterial small subunit ribosomal RNA", at positions 30 to 523 of the family's 1533-position model. The record is from RNAcentral.